UGGGGCGUGGCCAAGUGGUAAGGCAACGGGUUUUGGUCCCGGCAUUCGAAGGUUCGAAUCCUUCCGUCCCAG
This 72-nucleotide transfer RNA is filed under the name Araujia sericifera. RNAcentral describes it as "tRNA-Gln". It matches the Rfam family "tRNA". Rfam says of the family: Transfer RNA (tRNA) molecules are approximately 80 nucleotides in length. Their secondary structure includes four short double-helical elements and three loops (D, anti-codon, and T loops). Further hydrogen bonds mediate the characteristic L-shaped molecular structure. tRNAs have two regions of fundamental functional importance: the anti-codon, which is responsible for specific mRNA codon recognition, and the 3' end, to which the tRNAs corresponding amino acid is attached (by aminoacyl-tRNA synthetases). tRNAs cope with the degeneracy of the genetic code in two manners: having more than one tRNA (with a specific anti-codon) for a particular amino acid; and 'wobble' base-pairing, i.e. permitting non-standard base-pairing at the 3rd anti-codon position. RNAcentral also lists the same sequence under 41 other names. The record is from RNAcentral. Lineage: Eukaryota; Viridiplantae; Streptophyta; Magnoliopsida; Gentianales; Apocynaceae.